This is a long non-coding RNA of Scylla paramamosain (green mud crab), 1200 nucleotides long. RefSeq lists it as uncharacterized. The transcript has 4 exons. NCBI's taxonomy places the organism in Eukaryota, Metazoa, Arthropoda, Malacostraca, Decapoda, Portunidae. The record is from RefSeq and is a predicted model, not a curated record.
UGUGUGUCGUAACAGGAAGUCGUCAUUUCGUUGUUUCGUUAGUGUGUAAACUGAACAAAGUAUUUUUUUCCCUUUUUUUCCCUUUCUUUCCUUCUUUUUUAUUUUCUUUCUCCUUUCCUUCUCUCUAGAUCACCACCACCACCACCACUAGUCAGUCACCACCACCACCACCGCCAUGCAAACGCCACUGAAGCACCACCACCUCCUUCACCUCCUCGUUCUCACGCAGCUCAGGCCCGGCUUGACGCAGAAGGAGGGGAAGGGGCUGUGUGUGUGCGUCAUGGGAGUGGACCUGAAGAUAGGCCUGGCGGACGUGAUACGCGUGCCUCACUGGUUCUCCAUCAACUGUACCGACGCUGAUUUGUGUGUGGAAGAGUGUCAGGCUGAGUGGGUCUUAACAAUGGGCAACGCAGACCUCAACGAGAUGUACCGCUAUCACAUCACCUUUGGCCAGUUUAUGUGCAAUAUUAUAGAAGUCUACCACAGCAUUACCACCAUUCCCGCUACAAAGGUGCUGCAGUACGUGGACCUGUGCGGCACUGCUCAUGUGAACCGCAACCACACCACACACCUGGACCUGUGCUGCGAGUUGGGCGCUUAUGUCCCCUGCCCUGAGUUGCCCUCCUACAUCACUCUCCCUACUCAUCCCCACACUACUACUACACUACUACUACUACUACUACUACUACGCCUACUAUUACUACUACCACUACAACUACGCCUACUACUCCUACUACUACUACUACUACCACUACUCCUACUAAUGCUACUACUACUGCUACUACUACUGCUACUAUUAAUCCUCGUUUUCUUCCUCAUUUCCGUUGAUGCUGCAAUAGUAUCUACUACUACUACUACUACUGCUACUACUACUACUACUACUACUGACGUUACUGUAGUGUGUAUGCUUUGUAUGUUUUCUUGCCUUUUUUGUGUGUGUGAGAGAGAGAGAGAGAGAGAGAGAGAGAGAGAGAGAGAGAGAGAGAGAGAGAGAGAGAGAGAGAGAGAGAGAGAGAGAGAGGUAUCAGUCACUAAAUAAAAUAAAAAAGUCGAAGGAAUUAUUACCCAGAAUUGUGUGUGUGUGUGUGUGUGUGUGUGUGUGUGUGUGUGUGUGUGUGUGUGUGUGUGUGUGUGUGAACGUGACAAAGCAGCCAAACAAAAUCCAUGUAUAGUCUGCGUAAUGUGUGUAUGUGUGUGUGU